CGGGGGGGGGGGCUUAAUACAUGCAAGUCGAACGAGUUCUGAUUAUUGAAAGGUGCUUGCAUCUUGAUUUAAUUUUGAACGAGUGGCGGACGGGUGAGUAACACGUGGGUAACCUGCCCUUAAGUGGGGGAUAACAUUUGGAAACAGAUGCUAAUACCGCAUAAAUCCAAGAACCGCAUGGUUCUUGGCUGAAAGAUGGCGUAAGCUAUCGCUUUUGGAUGGACCCGCGGCGUAUUAGCUAGUUGGUGAGGUAACGGCUCACCAAGGCAAUGAUACGUAGCCGAACUGAGAGGUUGAUCGGCCACAUUGGGACUGAGACACGGCCCAAACUCCUACGGGAGGCAGCAGUAGGGAAUCUUCCACAAUGGACGCAAGUCUGAUGGAGCAACGCCGCGUGAGUGAAGAAGGCUUUCGGGUCGUAAAACUCUGUUGUUGGAGAAGAAUGGUCGGCAGAGUAACUGUUGUCGGCGUGACGGUAUCCAACCAGAAAGCCACGGCUAACUACGUGCCAGCAGCCGCGGUAAUACGUAGGUGGCAAGCGUUAUCCGGAUUUAUUGGGCGUAAAGCGAGCGCAGGCGGUUUUUUAAGUCUGAUGUGAAAGCCCUCGGCUUAACCGAGGAAGUGCAUCGGAAACUGGGAAACUUGAGUGCAGAAGAGGACAGUGGAACUCCAUGUGUAGCGGUGAAAUGCGUAGAUAUAUGGAAGAACACCAGUGGCGAAGGCGGCUGUCUGGUCUGUAACUGACGCUGAGGCUCGAAAGCAUGGGUAGCGAACAGGAUUAGAUACCCUGGUAGUCCAUGCCGUAAACGAUGAAUGCUAGGUGUUGGAGGGUUUCCGCCCUUCAGUGCCGCAGCUAACGCAUUAAGCAUUCCGCCUGGGGAGUACGACCGCAAGGUUGAAACUCAAAGGAAUUGACGGGGGCCCGCACAAGCGGUGGAGCAUGUGGUUUAAUUCGAAGCAACGCGAAGAACCUUACCAGGUCUUGACAUCUUUUGAUCACCUGAGAGAUCAGGUUUCCCCUUCGGGGGCAAAAUGACAGGUGGUGCAUGGUUGUCGUCAGCUCGUGUCGUGAGAUGUUGGGUUAAGUCCCGCAACGAGCGCAACCCUUAUGACUAGUUGCCAGCAUUUAGUUGGGCACUCUAGUAAGACUGCCGGUGACAAACCGGAGGAAGGUGGGGAUGACGUCAAAUCAUCAUGCCCCUUAUGACCUGGGCUACACACGUGCUACAAUGGAUGGUACAACGAGUUGCGAGACCGCGAGGUCAAGCUAAUCUCUUAAAGCCAUUCUCAGUUCGGACUGUAGGCUGCAACUCGCCUACACGAAGUCGGAAUCGCUAGUAAUCGCGGAUCAGCACGCCGCGGUGAAUACGUUCCCGGGCCUUGUACACACCGCCCGUCACACCAUGAGAGUUUGUAACACCCGAAGCCGGUGGCUGUAACCUUUUUUUUGGGAUCGGUACCCCCCUUUUUUA
This 1472-nucleotide ribosomal RNA is filed under the name Lacticaseibacillus rhamnosus. Its description in RNAcentral is "bacterial SSU rRNA". It matches the Rfam family "Bacterial small subunit ribosomal RNA". Lineage: Bacteria; Bacillati; Bacillota; Bacilli; Lactobacillales; Lactobacillaceae. The record is from RNAcentral.